RNAcentral lists this ribosomal RNA (21 nucleotides) under Pinus pinea (stone pine). RNAcentral describes it as "partial 25S ribosomal RNA". Lineage: Eukaryota; Viridiplantae; Streptophyta; Pinopsida; Pinales; Pinaceae. The record is from RNAcentral.
GCGACCUCAGCUCAGGCGGGA